UGACCAAAACAUAGUCCAGGCCCGACAUC
This 29-nucleotide non-coding RNA is filed under the name Rattus norvegicus (Norway rat). Lineage: Eukaryota; Metazoa; Chordata; Mammalia; Rodentia; Muridae. The record is from RNAcentral.